UUCUUUUUGAUUUUAAAAUUAAAAGUAUAACCUGCUCAAUGAAUAUUUAAAUAGCUGCGGUUAAUCGUACGAAGGUAGCAUAAUAAUUUGUCCUUUAAUUAAGGUCUAGUAUGAAUGGUUGAACGAAUAUUAACUUUUUUAAUCUGACUUAUUUGAAUUUAAUUUUUUAGUUAAAAAGCUAAAAUUUUUUAUUAAGACGAUAAGACCCUAUAGAAUUUUAAUUUUUUUAAUUAUAAUAUUAUUUAUUUUUAUAAAUAUUUAUUUUAAGAUUAUUUUGAUUGGGGUGAUUGUUACAAUUUAAUAACUGUAAUUUCUUUUUUUCAUACAUUAAUGAAUAAUUGAUCCUAAAUUUUAGAUUAUAAGAUUAAAUUACCUUAGGGAUAACAGCGUAAUUUUUUUGGAGAGUUCUUAUUAAUAAAAAAGUUUGCGA
Molecule: ribosomal RNA, 430 nt
Filed under: Agramma laetum
Lineage: Eukaryota; Metazoa; Arthropoda; Insecta; Hemiptera; Tingidae
Description: partial 16S ribosomal RNA
Source: RNAcentral